RNAcentral lists this ribosomal RNA (665 nucleotides) under Lichtheimia hongkongensis. Its description in RNAcentral is "eukaryotic LSU rRNA". It matches the Rfam family "Eukaryotic large subunit ribosomal RNA", at positions 81 to 649 of the family's 3401-position model. The record is from RNAcentral. Lineage: Eukaryota; Fungi; Mucoromycota; Mucoromycetes; Mucorales; Lichtheimiaceae.
UAGUACGGCGAGUGAAGAGGGAAAAGCUCAAAGUUGGAACCUGGCUGCCCUAGGCAGUCCGGAUUGUAAACUAAAGAGCGUGAUUCCAGGCAAGCCGGUUGACCAAGUCCUUUGGAAUGAGGCGCCACUGAGGGUGAGAGCCCCGUAAGUCGACUGAGCAUUUGUCUUUUGUGCUUCGCGUUCAAAGAGUCAGGUUGUUUGGGAAUGCAGCCUAAAGCUGGUGGUAAAUCCCACCUAAAGCUAAAUACAGGCGAGAGACCGAUAGCGAACAAGUACCGUGAGGGAAAGAUGAAAAGAACUUUGAAAAGAGAGUUAAACAGUAUGUGAAAUUGCCAAGAGGGAAGCAUUUGGAGUUAGAUUGACUAGGAGUUAAUCAGCUUGGUCUUUGGACUGGGUGUACUUGACUUCUUACAGUCUGCCAAUAGCAGUUAGUCCUAGUGGAAAAAACCAGAGGGAAGGUAGUCCUUCGGGAUGUUUAUAGACCUUUGGAAAAUACACUGGGAUUGACUGAGGAAUGCAGUAGAUGCCACUAAGGCUUCGUCUAGUGGGUGCUAGGCAAAGGUACUUGGUAUUUUCAGCUUGCUGAUGUGCUAGGUUACUCGAGUCUAGUCGCCUACUAGAACUGUAAUCUACUUUGGUUAUUGGCUUAAUGACUCUAAAUGGCC